GAUGAACGCUGGCGGCGUGCCUAAUACAUGCAAGUCGAGCGAACGGACGAGAAGCUUGCUUCUCUGAUGUUAGCGGCGGACGGGUGAGUAACACGUGGAUAACCUACCUAUAAGACUGGGAUAACUUCGGGAAACCGGAGCUAAUACCGGAUAAUAUUUUGAACCGCAUUGUUCAAAAGUGAAAGACGGUCUUGCUGUCACUUAUAGAUGGAUCCGCGCUGCAUUAGCUAGUUGGUAAGGUAACGGCUUACCAAGGCAACGAUGCAUAGCCGACCUGAGAGGGUGAUCGGCCACACUGGAACUGAGACACGUUCCAGACUCCUACGGGAGGCAGCAGUAGGGAAUCUUCCGCAAUGGGCGAAAGCCUGACGGAGCAACGCCGCGUGAGUGAUGAAGGUCUUCGGAUCGUAAAACUCUGUUAUUAGGGAAGAACAUAUGUGUAAGUAACUGUGCACAUAUUGACGGUACCUAAUCAGAAAGCCACGGCUAACUACGUG
This 497-nucleotide ribosomal RNA is filed under the name uncultured bacterium. Its description in RNAcentral is "partial 16S ribosomal RNA". It matches the Rfam family "Bacterial small subunit ribosomal RNA", at positions 28 to 507 of the family's 1533-position model. The record is from RNAcentral.